This 73-nucleotide transfer RNA is filed under the name Rhodothermaceae bacterium. RNAcentral's name for it is "tRNA-Gly". It matches the Rfam family "tRNA". Rfam says of the family: Transfer RNA (tRNA) molecules are approximately 80 nucleotides in length. Their secondary structure includes four short double-helical elements and three loops (D, anti-codon, and T loops). RNAcentral also lists the same sequence under 3 other names. The record is from RNAcentral. Lineage: Bacteria; Pseudomonadati; Rhodothermota; Rhodothermia; Rhodothermales; Rhodothermaceae.
GCGGGAAUAGCUCAGUUGGUAGAGCAUCAGCUUCCCAAGCUGAGGGUCGCCGGUUCGAGUCCGGUUUCCCGCU